UACUGGGGGGGCUAGCGUUAUUCAAAUUUAUUUGGUGUAAAGGGUGCGUAGAUUAUUUAUUUAAUUUUAAAUGAAAUUCUAAUAGUAAUAUUAGUAAAAAUGUUUUUAAUAUUAAUAAAUUUAUGUGUAUAUUUGGAGAUAAUAGAAUUGUUAGUUUAAUGAGAUAAAAUUCGUAGAAAUUAAUAAGAAUACUAAAUAGCGAAAGCUUUUAUUUAAAAUAUACAGACAUUGAGGCACGAAAGCGUGGGUAGCAAAUGGG
Molecule: ribosomal RNA, 259 nt
Filed under: uncultured bacterium
Lineage: Bacteria
Description: partial 16S ribosomal RNA
Rfam family: Bacterial small subunit ribosomal RNA
Source: RNAcentral